RNAcentral lists this ribosomal RNA (733 nucleotides) under marine metagenome. RNAcentral's name for it is "bacterial SSU rRNA". It matches the Rfam family "Archaeal small subunit ribosomal RNA", at positions 730 to 1467 of the family's 1478-position model. The record is from RNAcentral.
UAGAUACCCGGGUAGUCCUAGGUGUAAACGCUGUGAACUUGGUGUCGGGGGUCCGCAAGGGGUCCCCGGUGCCGGAGUGAAGAUGUUAAGUUCACUGCCUGGGGAGUACGGUCGCAAGGCUGAAACUUAAAGGAAUUGGCGGGGGAGCACUGCAACGGGAGGAGCGUGCGGUUUAAUUGGAUUCAACGCCGGAAAACUCACCAGGGCCGACUGUUAUAUGAAGACCAGCGUAACGAGCUUGUCGGAUUUUCAGAGAGGUGGUGCAUGGCCGUCGUCAGUUCGUACUGUAAAGCGUUCUGUUAAGUCAGAUAACGAACGAGACCCUCAUCUCUAUUUGCAACCUGUCUCUCCGGAGGCGGCGCACUAUAGAGAGACCGCUGGUGUGAAACCAGAGGAAGGCGAGGGCAACGACAGGUCAGUAUGCCCCGAAUGUCCUGGGCUACACGCGCGCUACAAAGGACGGGACAAUGGGAAGCUAGGCCGAGAGGCCACGCUAACCCGAAACCCGUUCAUAGUUCGGAUUGAGGGCUGUAACUCGCCCUCAUGAAGCUGGAUUCCGUAGUAAUCGUGUUUCAAUAUAGCACGGUGAAUAUGCCCCUGCUCCUUGCACACACCGCCCGUCAAACCAUCUUAGUUGGGGGUGGGUGAGGCUGCGCUUUAUGGCGUAUUCGAGCCUGCCUUCGACAAGGAGGGUUAAGUCGUAACAAGGUAUCUGUAGGGGAACCUGCAGAUG